RNAcentral lists this long non-coding RNA (588 nucleotides) under Crocodylus porosus (Australian saltwater crocodile). Its description in RNAcentral is "lncRNA (ENSCPRG00005015143.1)". The record is from RNAcentral. Lineage: Eukaryota; Metazoa; Chordata; Crocodylia; Crocodylidae.
UCUACAUUAUACUGCUUUCCCAAAGCCAUUUAUACGUCUUGCGGUUCUGAUCAGUGGGGUUAUUUUUCCUUGUUGGUUUGUGUUUGUAUUUUUUCACUGUGGCUGCUCUGCUCUCUGACUGGCUCACUUGUGAACAAAUCCCAGGAUACACUAAGUAUCUGAAACAAUGGAAGCAGAAGAGUUCAUCUAGAGAGCCCAUAGAGGCGAAGAGGAAGGGCAGAGGACACAUCUUGAAGGAUUCUAGGAGGUGGGAUAUGGCAGGAGGAGAGCAAGAUAAGUGGUGGAAAUUGUGAACUUGCUGACAAGUUUCAGACUGUUAUUCAUUCAGGAUUAUGAAUACCUCGUCUGAAAUUCCAAAGGUCCCAAUCCGGCAGAGUCAAUGGGGUUACAUUUGUGCUUCAGUCUGAGCACAUGCUGAAAUGCUUUGCUGGGUCCUGGUUUUACACUGAAAGUAUUUGCUCUUUGUGUAGCAGGUAACUGAAAAGAUCUCACAUGAGGUAAGAGCAGUAGAAUUGGGCCCAUGAUCACAUAUCCCCUUUUAUAGGAAUGUAAACGUUGCUUCAUUUUAAGGUAUAUUAUAUACUGUUA